Asterias rubens (European starfish) is the source of this 401-nucleotide long non-coding RNA. RefSeq lists it as uncharacterized. NCBI's taxonomy places the organism in Eukaryota, Metazoa, Echinodermata, Asteroidea, Forcipulatida, Asteriidae. The record is from RefSeq and is a predicted model, not a curated record. The transcript is spliced from 3 exons.
UGAGGCAGAGCAAACAUCCAUUUCAUGCGUGUGUGUUUUAUACUGGAUACAGCAGCUGCUGCAAAAACGACUAUUCUUGUUUUAUGAUUGCAUAGAGAGGAUCACUAAAUUACUGACAAGAAGCCGUUUUAUAUUCUGUCAGAGGACAGCUUGUGGAAAUUGGCAGAUAGUCAUCUGUCUGCAGUCAAUGCACAACACAAUGGACAGAUAUUCUGCACUUUGCUUCAUCGUUCUGACUGUUUUCAUGAUUGCUUCAACAGCUUCAACUGCAGCAGCAAAUACCACAGCCAGUACGGCAGCAACAACAGCUUCAUCUACCGAUGCAGCAACUACAGUGGUAACUACAGCAGCAACAACAGCUUCAAGUACAGAUGCAGCAACAGCAGCUUCAACUGAAGCAG